RNAcentral lists this ribosomal RNA (506 nucleotides) under uncultured bacterium. RNAcentral's name for it is "partial 16S ribosomal RNA". It matches the Rfam family "Bacterial small subunit ribosomal RNA", at positions 28 to 507 of the family's 1533-position model. The record is from RNAcentral.
GACGAACGCUGGCGGCGUGCUUAACACAUGCAAGUCGAACGGUGAAGGGACUGGUUUUGCUGGUCCUGGAUGAGCGGCGAACGGGUGAGUAACACGUGAGUAACCUGCCCCCUUCUUCUGGAUAACCGCAUGAAAGUGUGGCUAAUACGGGAUAUUCUGGGUCUGUCGCAUGGUGGGCCUGGGAAAGAUUGCGCCUUUUUUGGUGUUUUUGGUGGGGGAUGGGCUCGCGGCCUAUCAGCUUGUUGGUGGGGGGAUGGCCUACCAAGGCGGUGACGGGUAGCCGGCCUGAGAGGGUGGACGGUCACACUGGGACUGAGACACGGCCCAGACUCCUACGGGAGGCAGCAGUGGGGAAUAUUGCACAAUGGGCGCAAGCCUGAUGCAGCGACGCCGCGUGAGGGAUGGAGGCCUUCGGGUUGUGAACCUCUUUCGCCAGUGAAGCAGGCCUGCCUCUUUUUGUGGGUGGGUUGACGGUAGCUGGAUAAGAAGCGCCGGCUAACUACGUG